This 920-nucleotide ribosomal RNA is filed under the name uncultured bacterium. Its description in RNAcentral is "bacterial SSU rRNA". It matches the Rfam family "Bacterial small subunit ribosomal RNA", at positions 33 to 935 of the family's 1533-position model. The record is from RNAcentral.
ACGCUGGCGGCGUGCCUAAUACAUGCAAGUAGAACGCUGAAGCUUGGUGCUUGCACCGAGCGGAUGAGUUGCGAACGGGUGAGUAACGCGUAGGUAACCUGCCUGGUAGCGGGGGAUAACUAUUGGAAACGAUAGCUAAUACCGCAUGACAACAGUUAUUGCAUGAUAACUGUUUAAAAGGGGCAAUUGCUCCACUACCAGAUGGACCUGCGUUGUAUUAGCUAGUUGGUGAGGUAACGGCUCACCAAGGCGACGAUACAUAGCCGACCUGAGAGGGUGAUCGGCCACACUGGGACUGAGACACGGCCCAGACUCCUACGGGAGGCAGCAGUAGGGAAUCUUCGGCAAUGGACGGAAGUCUGACCGAGCAACGCCGCGUGAGUGAAGAAGGUUUUCGGAUCGUAAAGCUCUGUUGUAAGAGAAGAACGAGUGUGAGAGUGGAAAGUUCACACUGUGACGGUAUCUUACCAGAAAGGGACGGCUAACUACGUGCCAGCAGCCGCGGUAAUACGUAGGUCCCGAGCGUUAUCCGGAUUUAUUGGGCGUAAAGCGAGCGCAGGCGGUUAGAUAAGUCUGAAGUUAAAGGCUGUGGCUUAACCAUAGUACGCUUUGGAAACUGUUUAACUUGAGUGCAAGAGGGGAGAGUGGAAUUCCAUGUGUAGCGGUGAAAUGCGUAGAUAUAUGGAGGAACACCGGUGGCGAAAGCGGCUCUCUGGCUUGUAACUGACGCUGAGGCUCGAAAGCGUGGGGAGCAAGCAGGAUUAGAUACCCUGGUAGUCCACGCCGUAAACGAUGAGUGCUAGGUGUUAGACCCUUUCCGGGGUUUAGUGCCGUAGCUAACGCAUUAAGCACUCCGCCUGGGGAGUACGACCGCAAGGUUGAAACUCAAAGGAAUUGACGGGGGCCCGCACAAGCGGUGG